UGAAGUAGAGUAGAUUUGUAGGAUC
RNAcentral lists this microRNA (25 nucleotides) under Haemonchus contortus (barber pole worm). Its description in RNAcentral is "hco-miR-5928a". Lineage: Eukaryota; Metazoa; Nematoda; Chromadorea; Rhabditida; Trichostrongylidae. The record is from miRBase by way of RNAcentral.